ACUCUCUCAGCUCUGCAUGGUCACACUAGAUGCUACUCGUGUGACUUUCGUAAUCGGGAGAGACAGAAAGGAUCCCCUCAGUUCUCGGGCUGGCCUCACAGUGUGGCCGCUUGAUUCUCGAGGGGCACGACACAC
Small nucleolar RNA from Suncus etruscus (white-toothed pygmy shrew), 135 nucleotides. RefSeq annotates it as small nucleolar RNA SNORA64/SNORA10 family. The record is from RefSeq and is a predicted model, not a curated record. The transcript has a single exon. NCBI's taxonomy places the organism in Eukaryota, Metazoa, Chordata, Mammalia, Eulipotyphla, Soricidae.